Molecule: ribosomal RNA, 22 nt
Filed under: Microcycas calocoma
Lineage: Eukaryota; Viridiplantae; Streptophyta; Cycadopsida; Cycadales; Zamiaceae
Description: partial 26S rRNA
Source: RNAcentral
UGACCCCAGGUUAGGCGAGAGC